CGGCGGACGGGUGAGUAACGCGUGGGUAACCUGCCUCAUACAGGGGGAUAACAGUUGGAAACGGCUGCUAAUACCGCAUAAGCGCACAGUACCGCAUGGUACGGUGUGAAAAACUCCGGUGGUAUGAGAUGGACCCGCGUCUGAUUAGGUAGUUGGUGGGGUAACGGCUUACCAAGCCGACGAUCAGUAGCCGACCUGAGAGGGUGACCGGCCACAUUGGGACUGAGACACGGCCCAA
RNAcentral lists this ribosomal RNA (238 nucleotides) under uncultured bacterium. Its description in RNAcentral is "partial 16S ribosomal RNA". It matches the Rfam family "Bacterial small subunit ribosomal RNA", at positions 96 to 334 of the family's 1533-position model. The record is from RNAcentral.